CACGCCGUAAACGAUGGAUACUAGCUGUUCGGCGCAAGUUGAGUGGCUAAGCGAAAGUGAUAAGUAUCCCACCUGGGGAGUACGCACGCAAGUGUGAAACUCAAAGGAAUUGACGGGGACCCGCACAAGCGGUGGAUGAUGUGGUUUAAUUCGAUGCAACGCGAAAAACCUUACCCACCUUUGACAUGUACGGAAUCCUUUAGAGAUAGAGGAGUGCUCGAAAGAGAGCCGUAACACAGGUGC
This 243-nucleotide ribosomal RNA is filed under the name uncultured bacterium. Its description in RNAcentral is "partial 16S ribosomal RNA". It matches the Rfam family "Bacterial small subunit ribosomal RNA", at positions 796 to 1041 of the family's 1533-position model. The record is from RNAcentral.